Molecule: transfer RNA, 80 nt
Organism: Ipomoea nil (Japanese morning glory)
Lineage: Eukaryota; Viridiplantae; Streptophyta; Magnoliopsida; Solanales; Convolvulaceae
Rfam family: tRNA
About the family: Transfer RNA (tRNA) molecules are approximately 80 nucleotides in length. Their secondary structure includes four short double-helical elements and three loops (D, anti-codon, and T loops). Further hydrogen bonds mediate the characteristic L-shaped molecular structure. tRNAs have two regions of fundamental functional importance: the anti-codon, which is responsible for specific mRNA codon recognition, and the 3' end, to which the tRNAs corresponding amino acid is attached (by aminoacyl-tRNA synthetases). tRNAs cope with the degeneracy of the genetic code in two manners: having more than one tRNA (with a specific anti-codon) for a particular amino acid; and 'wobble' base-pairing, i.e. permitting non-standard base-pairing at the 3rd anti-codon position.
Source: Rfam
AUUGAUAUGGCCGAGUUGGUCCAAGGUGCCAAAUUAAGGUUCUGGUCCGAAAGGGCGUGGGUUCAAAUCUACUAUCAACA